CGUGACUGCGAGCAUGAUCAGAACGCACUCAUCAAAAAAUUAGAAGCUUUUUCAUGAUAGAAAACCUCGGUGAGGCAAAUCACCAAAAAAACGUUGCUAAUGGUUACCUGAACACAGUUUUUGUUGGUAGAAGCAAUUUUUAUCCGGCGGCGUACGAAAUGGCAAGCAACCGGUACUUCAGGAUAAACACGAGUAACGAAAGAUCGGCAGUGAUAACGACAGCAUAGUACAAACAUGUUCGUGAGAGAAGAAAAACUGAGAAGCCGCCAGGCGGGGAUCGCCAUCAAUAAACGUGACUUCGUACCAAGGCUUUGUGGGCUUGCUCUGACACGACGAAUGACGAAGUGCCAAUGCUCGAAACGCCAGCGUUGAAACUCAAAACGGUGGCCAAUUUACAUUAUCAACUCAGCUGAUAAAAUCAAAUUAUCUUGUAAUAGCCCUUAUCGACUCAGCACCACAUGCAGAGCUCCUGGUUCACAGCAACUUUUUCCCGACAGCUAAGAAUUUUAUCAUCACAUUGUAUACUAGAAUCAACAGCGAUCAAGAAAGAACUGAAAUUGUCCAAAUAUAUAUCAGAAAGAGCAAAAGGCCAAAUACAGAGCCUUAAACUGACAUGUGCUACAGAUUGUAAAAGUCCUUCCAGAUUUAUGCAGACCUAGUAUUAUCGUCUGCAUUUGGCCUGUAGGAUAAGACGAGAGCCAAAUGUAUGUGACUUUGUGAAAACUAUAGUGAUAUCAUGACCAUAUAUGAAAAUAAAAUUUUAUUACCAACUUUUUUAAACGAAUUGUUAAGAUCAGUAAAAUUGUUACGGGAAAAGAGGCGUUUGACUGUAUUAUUAUGUUUAACAUGUUACGCUAUCAAGCGUCGGAGGAACUUGCUGUGGACUGCACCAUGAACGCCAAUCGAAAGGCACCAAGGAGUCUCGAACUGCCUUUUUCUGCUUAAUCUAAUUAUUCCAUUUUUCCAGUACACAAUUCUACUUACAUCCAAGUCCUCUUCAUUCUGUGUAACUCAGGCUAAUCUCUUGGGCUCUCACACUUUGAUUCUCACUGGAUACUUCUUAGUUAAGAUGCUAAACGCUCGUUUAAACCACGAAAUUCUUUCUUUACUCUUCUGCACACUAUCCACAUUUUUCUAGUAUACUCUAUAAUCACUAUUGAUAGAUAUGAGCAUGUCGGUCGACUGACUUCGGGAGAUUAAACAUUUGUUGUUAGAACACUACUGAAAUAACUUCGGACUAUGAAUUCAUAUAAUAACUACAUUCUAGUUAUCAUCAAGUAGGUUUUUAUUAGUCACGGUGUUAAAUAACAUAUCCAAAAGAGAAAUGUAAUCAUUUGUCUCGCGAUGUGGUCACUUUGGAUGUGGAUGUACGUUCUAAAUAUAGACGAAAGACGAUAUCAAAUUGAACCGACCAACUAACUGAAUAUAACUAACUGACUAGACUUAGUGAAUACUUCAUUACAAACAUUUACAACAUCGAGAAUUAC
Molecule: long non-coding RNA, 1487 nt
Organism: Pocillopora verrucosa
Lineage: Eukaryota; Metazoa; Cnidaria; Anthozoa; Scleractinia; Pocilloporidae
Source: RefSeq, a predicted model, not a curated record